RNAcentral lists this ribosomal RNA (253 nucleotides) under uncultured bacterium. RNAcentral's name for it is "partial 16S ribosomal RNA". It matches the Rfam family "Bacterial small subunit ribosomal RNA", at positions 524 to 776 of the family's 1533-position model. The record is from RNAcentral. RNAcentral also lists the same sequence under 1 other name.
UACGGAGGGUGCAAGCGUUGUCCGGAUUUAUUGGGUUUAAAGGGUGCGUAGGCGGCUAUUUAAGUCAGCGGUGAAAGACUCCGGCUCAACCGGAGCAGUGCCAUUGAUACUGGAUAGCUUGAGUGUUGGAGGGGUACAUGGAAUUGAUGGUGUAGCGGUGAAAUGCAUAGAUACCAUCAGGAACACCGAUAGCGAAGGCAUUGUACUGGCCAACAACUGACGCUGAGGCACGAAAGCAUGGGGAGCGAACAGG